RNAcentral lists this long non-coding RNA (1507 nucleotides) under Sinocyclocheilus grahami. RNAcentral's name for it is "lncRNA (ENSSGRG00000013704.1)". The record is from RNAcentral. Lineage: Eukaryota; Metazoa; Chordata; Actinopteri; Cypriniformes; Cyprinidae.
CUCCAAUUAAAAAGAAAAAAGAAAAAGGAAGUGUUUUUAUUUAUAUUCAUGGAGUUUACCGAACCCCCUGGAUUUAGAAAAUUACAGCUGUGUCGUCAGAAAGAAAACGAUGAGGACACACAUAUGCUGAUAUCUCCAGAAAGCCCAGAAGAACAGUCUCCUGGACAUCGGCCUCCCACUGGCUCGCCAAGCGUGUCUGCCAAACUUCGUUUCACCCCUAAGAUGAAGCUGAAACGCCUGCAGAAAUCUGCCACAGAGGACCUCUCAGACCGUUCGACGUGUGCAGCCAUGUCUCUGGAACACGUUGGAAAGGUCACCACACCUUAUGGCUUCCGGACCUUGGCUGCCAGCCCCAGCGUCAGCCGGAGAGAGUCCUUAUUCCAUAAGCAGGGACGAUGCACAGAAAGGAGAGUGCCGUUGGAUUCUGUGGCUUCACCAACAUCUUCAAAUUCAACAUCCAAUUCCACAAGCAACAGAAACGGCUCUGCUAGAAAGCUGCAGGAUGGCCAAAAAGACUGUUGCACCCCUCGGAAAUCUAAGAGAGAAGGCCUGGAGCUGCUCCUGAACAAACCAUUGACUGUCUUGAGGAGUCUUACUCCCAAAAGAAAGAACCCUAAACUAAAACUUAAGCUAUAGAAAGAGUUGUAAGUGAUAUCAGCAUUAGUACAGCCUUGUGCUUUUUGACAAGGAAAACACAUUUUAAGUGUCAAAAAUAAAAGUAUUUUAAUUCCAGUCUGUGCACACAUUAAGUUUUUUUUUUUUUUUAACUUGCCAAGAUGCACUCUCUUGCAGGGUUGCCAAGUCUGUGAUUAACUUGCCAUGGCCUGAUUUAGUGAUUUAUACUUUCAAAAUGCUGUUGCGUGUUUUUUUUUUUCUUAAAGAUUUGACAUUAAUAUUUGUAUUUGACUGAAAUGCUGCAGUAUUUCAUUCUACCACCCAUAAAACUUUGCUAGAUGUUUUUUUUUUGUGAGAGAAGCAACACAGUUUAUCUCUUAGUUUCACAGACAAGGCUAAAGCCUAGUCUCAGACUAAAACGCAUGUCUGGGCUGUUUUAACUGAAAAACUUGCACUGAUAUGUCUUAAAAUGUCAGUGUUAUUAAUUUGUCUCAAGACACACACAGGUAAUGUUUUUUUUCUAAAGUAUGUUUAUAAGAGAUACUGGUUUUAAUUGAACUGUGGCCUAAUCCUGGCUUAACUUAAGCCCUGUCUAUGAAACCAGGUUUAUGAUUACUGCAAGACUCAACAACAAAAAAAAAAUCCUUCAACUCCUUUUAAUUCCAGCAAAUUUCGUUACAUGUAAUAUUUGCAUGAACAAAAUUCAACAAAUGUGAGCUGUUAUUCCACUCUUCCAAGGCACUAGCAAGUUCCUGGACACGUCUGAGGAGGCACAUAGUUACACAUGGUUUGCCACUGCAAAGCCGAUCGGCUGUCCUCCCUGUAGCACCGUCUUAGGCUCCUUAUAUUUCAGACAUUGCUCUGGCCACAUCUGCAGUCCUCAUGCCUAUCU